AGUGAACGCUGGCGGCAUGCCUUACACAUGCAAGUCGAACGGCAGCACAGAGGAGCUUGCUCCUUGGGUGGCGAGUGGCGGACGGGUGAGGAAUACAUCGGAAUCUACUCUGUCGUGGGGGAUAACGUAGGGAAACUUACGCUAAUACCGCAUACGACCUACGGGUGAAAGCAGGGGACCUUCGGGCCUUGCGCGAUUGAAUGAGCCGAUGUCGGAUUAGCUAGUUGGCGGGGCAAAGGCCCACCAAGGCGACGAUCCGUAGCUGGUCUGAGAGGAUGAUCAGCCACACUGGAACUGAGACACGGUCCAGACUCCUACGGGAGGCAGCAGUGGGGAAUAUUGGACAAUGGGCGCAAGCCUGAUCCAGCCAUACCGCGUGGGUGAAGAAGGCCUUCGGGUUGUAAAGCCCUUUUGUUGGGAAAGAAAUCCAGCUGGCUAAUACCCGGUUGGGAUGACGGUGCCCAAAGAAUAAGCACCGGCUAACUUCGUGCCAGCAGCCGCCGUAA
RNAcentral lists this ribosomal RNA (506 nucleotides) under uncultured bacterium. RNAcentral describes it as "partial 16S ribosomal RNA". It matches the Rfam family "Bacterial small subunit ribosomal RNA", at positions 29 to 523 of the family's 1533-position model. The record is from RNAcentral.